ACGCACGCUGGCGGCAUGCCUAACCCCUGCCAGUCGAACGAGACCUUCGGGUCUAGUGGCGCACGGGUGCGUAACGCGUGGGAACCUGCCCUUAGGUUCGGAAUAACUCCCCGAAAGGGGUGCUAAUACCGGAUAAUGUCUUCGGACCAAAGAUUUAUCGCCUUUGGAUGGGCCCGCGUUGGAUUAGCUAGUUGGUAGGGUAAAAGCCUACCAAGGCGACGAUCCAUAGCUGGUCUGAGAGGAUGAUCAGCCACACUGGGACUGAGACACGGCCCAGACUCCUACGGGAGGCAGCAGUGGGGAAUAUUGGACAAUGGGCGAAAGCCUGAUCCAGCAAUGCCGCGUGAGUGAUGAAGGCCUUAGGGUUGUAAAGCUCUUUUACCCGGGAUGAUAAUGACAGUACCGGGAGAAUAAGCUCCGGCUAACUCCAUG
This 432-nucleotide ribosomal RNA is filed under the name uncultured bacterium. RNAcentral's name for it is "partial 16S ribosomal RNA". It matches the Rfam family "Bacterial small subunit ribosomal RNA", at positions 29 to 507 of the family's 1533-position model. The record is from RNAcentral.